RNAcentral lists this ribosomal RNA (253 nucleotides) under uncultured bacterium. RNAcentral's name for it is "partial 16S ribosomal RNA". It matches the Rfam family "Bacterial small subunit ribosomal RNA", at positions 524 to 776 of the family's 1533-position model. The record is from RNAcentral.
UACGUAGGGGGCAAGCGUUGUCCGGAAUCAUUGGGCGUAAAGCGCGCGUAGGCGGCCCUGUAAGUCCGUUGUGAAAGUCAAAGGCUCAACCUUUGAAAGCCGAUGGAUACUGCAGGGCUAGAGUCCGGAAGAGGCGAGUGGAAUUCCUGGUGUAGCGGUGGAAUGCGCAGAUAUCAGGAGGAACACCAAUAGCGAAGGCAGCUCGCUGGGACGGUACUGACGCUAAGGCGCGAAAGCAUGGGGAUCAAACAGG